AGUGAACGCUGGCGGUAGACCUAACACAUGCAAGUCGAACGGCAGCACAGUAAGAGCUUGCUCUUACGGGUGGCGAGUGGCGGACGGGUGAGGAAUACAUCGGAAUCUACUUUUUCGUGGGGGAUAACGUAGGGAAACUUACGCUAAUACCGCAUACGACCUACGGGUGAAAGCAGGGGAUCUUCGGACCUUGCGCGAUUGAAUGAGCCGAUGUCGGAUUAGCUAGUUGGCGGGGUAAGGGCCCACCAAGGCGACGAUCCGUAGCUGGUCUGAGAGGAUGAUCAGCCACACUGGAACUGAGACACGGUCCAGACUCCUACGGGAGGCAGCAGUGGGGAAUAUUGGACAAUGGGCGCAAGCCUGAUCCAGCCAUACCGCGUGGGUGAAGAAGGCCUUCGGGUUGUAAAGCCCUUUUGUUGGGAAAGAAAAGCAGCAGGUUAAUACCCCGCUGUUCUGACGGUACCCAAAGAAUAAGCACCGGCUAACUUCGUG
This 492-nucleotide ribosomal RNA is filed under the name uncultured bacterium. Its description in RNAcentral is "partial 16S ribosomal RNA". It matches the Rfam family "Bacterial small subunit ribosomal RNA", at positions 29 to 507 of the family's 1533-position model. The record is from RNAcentral.